GACAGAGGGGGCAAGCGUUGCUCGGAAUUACUGGGCGUAAAGGGCGCGUAGGCGGGAUGGCAAGUCGGUCGUGAAAUCCCUCGGCUCAACUGAGGAUCGUCGAUCGAUACUGCCGUUCUUGAGGAUUGCAGAGGAGACUGGAAUUCCCGGUGUAGCGGUGAAAUGUGUAGAUAUCUGGAGGAAUACCGGUGGCGAAGGCGGCAUCCUGGACCGACAUUGACGCUGAACGGCGAAAGCUAGGGGAGCAAACGGG
RNAcentral lists this ribosomal RNA (253 nucleotides) under uncultured bacterium. Its description in RNAcentral is "partial 16S ribosomal RNA". It matches the Rfam family "Bacterial small subunit ribosomal RNA", at positions 524 to 776 of the family's 1533-position model. The record is from RNAcentral.